RNAcentral lists this ribosomal RNA (465 nucleotides) under uncultured bacterium. RNAcentral describes it as "bacterial SSU rRNA". It matches the Rfam family "Bacterial small subunit ribosomal RNA", at positions 338 to 795 of the family's 1533-position model. The record is from RNAcentral.
CCUACGGGCGGCACCAGUGGGGAAUAUUGCACAAUGGGCGCAAGCCUGAUGCAGCCAUGCCGCGUGUGUGAAGAAGGCCUUCGGGUUGUAAAGCACUUUCAGCGGGGAGGAAGGCGUUAAGGUUAAUAACCUUAGCGAUUGGCGUUACCCGCAGAAGAAGCACCGGCUAACUCCGUGCCAGCAGCCGCGGUAAUACGGAGGGUGCAAGCGUUAAUCGGAAUUACUGGGCGUAAAGCGCACGCAGGCGGUCUGUCAAGUCGGAUGUGAAACCCCCGGGCUCAACCUGGGAACUGCAUUCGAAACUGGCAGGCUAGAGUCUUGUAGAGGGGGGUAGUAUUCCAGGUGUAGCGGUGAAAUGCGUAGAGAUCUGGAGGAAUACCGGUGGCGAAGGCGGCCCCCUGGACAAAGACUGACGCUCAGGUGCGAAAGCGUGGGGAGCAAACAGGAUUAGAUACCCGUGUAGUC